This 71-nucleotide transfer RNA is filed under the name Phrynosoma platyrhinos (Desert horned lizard). RNAcentral's name for it is "tRNA-OTHER". Lineage: Eukaryota; Metazoa; Chordata; Lepidosauria; Squamata; Phrynosomatidae. The record is from RNAcentral.
GCUAGUGUGGUGUAGUGGUUUGAACACUGGAUGACAACUCUGGAGAUCAAGGUUCAAAUCCCUGCUCAGCC